Homo sapiens (human) is the source of this 357-nucleotide long non-coding RNA. The record is from Ensembl. NCBI's taxonomy places the organism in Eukaryota, Metazoa, Chordata, Mammalia, Primates, Hominidae.
GGAAAACGAGGAUCCACAUGUGUAAAUAAACGGGAACUACAGCUCAAAGGCAGUCAUACACUUGUCAUUCUUGUUUCUUCCUCUCAUGACAUGGAAAGGCAGGUAGAAAGAUCUCUUGAAGGUUGCUCCGAAGCCCAUGGGAGUGAAUGUUCCGGUGGACUUGGGGCUCUGCUGACGGAGGCCAGGCCACAAGGGGACAACGCUGGCACCAGGCCCAGUCACCUCUGUACCACUCGUUAGUAGUCUGGUUGGUGGCCGCCAGAUACAGGACAAACAACAGCUCCUCUUGGGCAGCAGUGUGUGCCUGGCAUGACCAGUAGCUGCCGGACAUGGUUCUUCCAGGAGCCUGGAUCUGGC